RNAcentral lists this ribosomal RNA (832 nucleotides) under archaeon enrichment culture clone L08_3132. RNAcentral's name for it is "bacterial SSU rRNA". It matches the Rfam family "Archaeal small subunit ribosomal RNA", at positions 22 to 859 of the family's 1478-position model. The record is from RNAcentral.
GGCUACUGCUAUUGGGAUUCGACUAAGCCAUGCGAGUCAAGGUGUCUUCGGACGCCGGCGUACGGCUCAGUAACACGUAGGUAACCUACCCUCAGGACUGAGAUAACCCCGGGAAACUGGGGCUAAUAUUAGAUAGAUAAAAGAUACUGGAAUGUUCUUUUAUCCAAAGCUUUUGCGCCUGAGGAUGGGCCUGCGUCCGAUUAGGUUGUUGGUGGGGUAAUGGCCCACCAAGCCUACGAUCGAUACGGGCAGUGAGAGCUGAAGCCCGGAGUUGGGGACUGAGACAAGGCCCCAGGCCCUACGGGGCGCAGCAGGCGCGAAACCUCUGCAAUGCGGGAAACCGUGACAGGGGGAUCCCAAGUGCUCAUGCAUUGCAUGGGCUGUUCUUUGGUCUAAGUAACCAGAGGAGUAAGGGCUGGGCAAGACCGGUGCCAGCCGCCGCGGUAAUACCGGCAGCUCAAGUGGUAGCCGCGAUUAUUGGGCCUAAAGCGUUCGUAGCCGGAUAAGUAAGUCUUUGGUUAAAUCCUGCGACUUAACCGUGGGAAAUCUAGAGAUACUGCUUGUCUUGAGACCGGGAGAGGUUGGAGGUACUCCCAGGGUAGGGGUGAAAUCCUGUAAUCCUGGGGGGACCACCUGUGACGAAGGCGUCCAACUGGAACGGGUCUGACGGUGAGGGACGAAACCUAGGGGAGCGAGCCGGAUUAGAUACCCGGGUAGUCCUAGGCGUAAAUGAUGCGAGUUAAGUGUGGGGGCAUCCACGAGAUGGCCCUGUGCUGUAGGGUAGCCGUUAAACUCGCCGCCUGGGGAGUACGGUCGCAAGGCUGAAACUUAA